This 458-nucleotide ribosomal RNA is filed under the name uncultured bacterium. Its description in RNAcentral is "bacterial SSU rRNA". It matches the Rfam family "Bacterial small subunit ribosomal RNA", at positions 15 to 518 of the family's 1533-position model. The record is from RNAcentral.
GAUCCUGGCUCAGAACGAACGCUGGCGGCAGGCCUAACACAUGCAAGUCGAGCGCGCCCUUCGGGGUGAGCGGCGGACGGGUUAGUAACGCGUGGGAACGUACCCUUUGGUAGGGAAUAGCCACUGGAAACGGUGAGUAAUACCCUAUGAGCCCUUCGGGGGAAAGAUUUAUCGCCAAAGGAUCGGCCCGCGUUAGAUUAGGUAGUUGGUGGGGUAAUGGCCUACCAAGCCUACGAUCUAUAGCUGGUUUUAGAGGAUGAUCAGCAACACUGGGACUGAGACACGGCCCAGACUCCUACGGGAGGCAGCAGUGGGGAAUCUUGGACAAUGGGGGCAACCCUGAAUCCAGCCAUGCCGCGUGAGUGAAGAAGGCCUUAGGGUCGUAAAGCUCUUUCGCCUGUGAAGAUAAUGACGGUAGCAGGUAAAGAAACCCCGGCUAACUCCGUGCCAGCCGCAGC